UUGAACAAUUUCUCAGGGUCAAUUAGACACGACUUAAUGAAAAGCCAGAGAAUUCUGUAUGAAUAUUUGACCCAGCAAUUCCACUUGUUUUUUAUGGUAUCAAUUUAAAAUGGAUCUUUAUGCAUUGACACAUGAAUUUUAUAUACCUUUAAAAAAUUACACGAAGUUGGUGGCAAUCAGAAUGUGGGUGCCGGAUUCAUUUUUGCUUAUUUACAGCACUGCCAGCAUGUACUAAAGUAUUCAAAAUAUGACCAAAUUUAAGCAACCUCAGAUAAUGGUUGCUGUUUCUCCCCUCCCUAACAAACCAUUUUCUGUUCUUGGGUACACAAUUGGACUACAUAUCCCAGCCUUCUUGCAGUUAGAUCACAUGACUGAGUUCUAGUAAUGAAUACAAUUUCUGGGACAGAGCUUUAAAGAAGGAGGUGUUCCACCUCCAAGCUCUCAUUUUUCUUUCACUGACUGGAGGCAGAUGAUGAAUUUGAAGCCCUGACAAAGAGAAGGCAAAAUCAGUUUGUGUCCCUGAGUUGCUAAGUGGAGAAGAAACGUCCACCAACCAGGAAACACCUGCCUCCAACUGUUAAUAGGUCUGUGAAAUGUGCUUUGUUUCUGGUCAGCAUGGACACCCGCUUUAAUAGUGGCUUCAGAUGAGGCACCUUGUGACAGAGGAGCUCUUCCCCUGCAGCAACCUUGAAGAUGUUGUGGAAGACAAUAGCCAUUCUUACUUCACUCUGAGGAUCACGAUGGCGUGCAAGGGUGUGCCAAGCACAUUGCUAUCUUUGGCCAUUCUCUCUCACAUUAGUACACCUGGAUGUGAAUGGCACGUUAUCUAUGUAAGCAGUGAUGGUCUCUAUCUGGUGGUAGAAAUGACAGAAUUACACACAAUCAGGACAGCUGAGAUUCCAUUUACUAGCUCAGUAAUCAGAGAAUAUGUAUGACAUCCCAGCAAAAAAUGUUGAACAUGUUCAGAUUUCAUCAUAUCAGCACCACAGUAUCAGUCUUACUGGGAGGUGCUCGCAUUCAGUUCCUGGCUACUGAAGAAAUUUUGCAGGAGUUCCAGAUAACUUACUUGUCCCAUAAUAAUGAAAACUAUUACAAUUAUGCUAAAGAAGAAUACUUAAUAACACAGUAAAAAUGUUUAUGAUGUCUUUUAAUUUCUAAAGCAUGUUAUAAAAGUAUUACAGUAUGAUCUCAUAUUUGUAAGUAAAAUAUAUAUUAAUUCAUUUAGCAAAUAAAUAUUAAGCCCCUACUAUGCACAUACCAAUAUAGAUAUUGGUAUUUGUGUGGGUGUGUGUUACAGCAGAUUUUAAUUUUCUUAUUUUGUAUUUUCUGAUUUAUCUACAAUGAAUUUGUAUUAAUUUGCUAACAAAACAUCACUAUUAAAAUAAAUUUUUUUUGAAUUAUAAGAAAAGGCUAACAUCAUAACAAUAAGGUUGUAUAGAAUAAACUGACAACACAGAAGUUA
Homo sapiens (human) is the source of this 1462-nucleotide long non-coding RNA. RefSeq lists it as uncharacterized. The transcript is spliced from 3 exons. NCBI's taxonomy places the organism in Eukaryota, Metazoa, Chordata, Mammalia, Primates, Hominidae. The record is from RefSeq and is a predicted model, not a curated record.